RNAcentral lists this unclassified non-coding RNA (220 nucleotides) under uncultured Agaricomycetes. RNAcentral describes it as "sequence contains ITS2". Lineage: Eukaryota; Fungi; Basidiomycota; Agaricomycetes. The record is from RNAcentral.
AAAUCUUCAACCUCUAGCUUUUGUGGUAUAUACACGAAGCUUGUAAGGAUUGGAUUAUGGGAGCCUUAUGCUGGUCCUUUUGGUCUGGCUCUCCUGAAAAAUAUUAGCAAGAUCAUUGGCAUUGGUCUGGUAUGAUAACUAAUAAUUGUAUAUACCAUUGGGGCCAAGGUCAUGAAAGAUUUUUGCUUCUAAUUCUCUCAUUAGAAGAGCUUUAUGAAAU